UUAGGUUAGGUUAGGUUAGGUUUUUUUUUUUUUUUUUUUUUUUUUUUUUUUUUUUUUUUUUUUUUUUUUUUUUUUUUUUUUUUUUUUUUUUUUUUUUUUUUUUUUUCUAAACCUCCGAUAUUAUUUUUUUUUUUUUUUUUUUUUUUUUUUUUUUUUUUUUUUUUUUUUUUUUUUUAAUAUAAUAAUAUAGAUAAUAUAUUA
Molecule: unclassified non-coding RNA, 201 nt
Filed under: Melitaea cinxia (Glanville fritillary)
Lineage: Eukaryota; Metazoa; Arthropoda; Insecta; Lepidoptera; Nymphalidae
Description: misc RNA ENSMCXG00005011534.1
Source: RNAcentral